Molecule: long non-coding RNA, 2803 nt
Organism: Beta vulgaris subsp. vulgaris (sugar beet)
Lineage: Eukaryota; Viridiplantae; Streptophyta; Magnoliopsida; Caryophyllales; Amaranthaceae
Exons: 2
Source: RefSeq, a predicted model, not a curated record
AUGUUUUGUGGGUCGAUUGACGGAUUUGAAAUUCAAAAUUUGUUACUUUGCAAGAUCAACAAUAAGUAUUCUCCUCAUUUGAGUUAGCACUCACAAAGGCCAUGUUUGGUAAAUGGCUUUUUCAUUUGCUUUUCAAUUUGGUCAAACAACCAAAAAAAGUGUUUGGUUAUUGGCUUUUUGGUUGGUUGAAAAGCUGGCUUUUAAGCCAAAAUGAAAAAGCUGCCUGAAGCAGCUUUUGGAUUGGCUUUUGGCUUAUUGGCCCACAAACUCUCUAAUAAACAGCCAACAACCACAAUUAAUUUUGCCAAACACUUUUGCAAACAAUUGGCUUGAACAUCCAACUCAAAAAGCCAAUACAUACAUUCAAUGCUUACAGCCAGUCAAACAAGCCAACUAAACCAGCCAAAAGCCAACAGCCAACAUCCGAUUGCCAAACAACCCCAAACAAUUAGGUACAUUGCCCCUCAAAGUUAAGAUAUCGGAAUGAUCUGGUACAUCAACCCUUGUUUUGCUCAUUUUAAUCUUGUCUAACUUUGCUACCUUUCUAUUAAAUAGUGGUAUCCCUUGGAUUAUGUAUUAGAAAUCUAGAAUGGAAAGAUCCAUUUGGUUGAGGUCAAUCUAGAUUGUUGUUUAAGGCAGUGUAACAUAAUUUGCUACAUAAUUCGCUUUUUUGGUUCACGGUCCGCCCAAAAUGGGCCAAAAAUAGGCCAAAACCAAUCAUAAGUCGCUUUUUUUGGAUAGCAAUUUGCGGGAGAUCAGGGAAUUAUGUUUCACUGGUUCAAGGUCAAUCUUGAUUACUGUUCAAGUAAGUGAAUUUACAUCAAUUUAACACGAUCAUGUAAUAGUCACUUCUCAUUCUCCUCAUCUCGAACAUGGUAAGUUUGAGCUAAAUGUGUUAUAACUUGUUUGCAAGAUGCACUUCAGAAAUGAUGUAUUAUUAGGUGUUUCUUAAUCAAUAAUUAUAACGUGAUGACAAUAGCGAAUUUCUGGUUUUGUCUUAUGUGUGAAAGGAUCUUCCGGUGGCAGUUUUUCAAUCCUGAGAAACUCCUAGAGUAUUCUUCUGUACAGAGGGAGGGGGGGGGGGAAUACAUCAGUUUAACCUGAGUUGCAGGUUGAACCUGACCAGUGAAUUGAUUUUGCAUAUCAAAACUAAGGUAUAGUUUUACCAAUGCUUAGACCACUAAUUGCCUUCUACUUCUGCCCCCCCCAAUAUUAAAGUAACUUAGAUGUAGGCCUAGGGUUCAAGUUAGUUUUAUCUAAUCCUUCCUCUACUCAAUGAAGUAUUAGUGUGAAUUACAUUCUGGAAAUUGCAAAUACAAUUGAUAGGAGGUAUGUGGUAUCUGGUACACUUAUGGAAUAGUGUAGCACAACUUGUUAGUGAUUUACUUUUCAGAACAUGUUUAGUGAUUUACCUAGGUAAUACUGGUUCAGAGCAAAAACCCUAAGGCCUAGUCUGCAACUCUGAAACACUGAUUGACAGAUAUUAAGUACUAAAACUUAAAGAGUUGUAAGUGCAACUGAAGAGAGUUGGAGUUGGCUCCUGGAUUGGUGAGCAAAACGUGUAGGGUUUGCUUUGGGUAUUUUUCCACUCAUGUCAGCUCUUUUUGUUGUUUAGGCCGUGUGAUGGUUCAUGACCCAAGGGUUUGAGAGUAUAUCAAUUCUAAACACUUGUAGUAUUUCCUGAUAUUUCAAAAAUAUAUAUCCUAAUGGUAACUAUUAAAGCUUUGUAGCAUGUUAAACUAUCUAAGUUUUUUUGCAACAAUUUUUAUUUUGAUAAGAUGACUAUUGAUGGAAGGAGGAAAUGUAAAUAUAGGUAUAAUAAACUCAAUAAACGGAGAGGAGAAAGUUUAAUCUUAUCAAAGUAAAGAAUGUGUUAAUCUUGAAUGCCUUAUGAUAAUUGAUUUGUCGGGUGGCACACUCAAUCAUAUAUGCACAAGUAAUAAUAACGCGGAAAUAACACAAGAAACAACAAGGAUCACACAAGUAGAUUAAUUGUGGAAACCCGAGAAUCGGGAGGAAAACCACGAAACGGUGCACUACGACUUUCAAUGAUGUGUAUGAUAUGGUGAAUUACAAGGCUUCCAAGAUCUCCCCCCAUCUAACCUAAUCAACCUAGAACCUGGGUCUUGGAGAUCCGAGUCCGUAAUUGUGUUACCCGAACACCUCACAUCUUGGCUUUUUCUCUCUCCACCACUCCUAGUAUUUCUAUCUCAUGGCUUAUAUUUAUAGUUAUGGAUGGCAAUGGGCCGGAUAGGGGGCGGGUCUGAUUAGACGUUGACCCGCAUCCGGUUUUUUUAAUCGAGCCAGACCCGACCCAAACCCACUGGGUCUGAAAAAAUUAGACCCAGACCCGAUGGGUUUAGCAGGUCUCGGGUCCAAAAUGUGUCCAAAACAGGUCCUGAAUACAUUUCUAUAGUUUUUCUUUUAUCACACAAUGAUCCGUAUAUAUAGUAUUUCUUUCAACAUUUCAUGUACUUUUUUAAUUUCAAGAAAAUAGCAACGAAUACUUUUGCACCUAAACUAAGUCAACCAUUCACAUAUUACGAACUCGGCAACUACUUCACUACUGCGAACAAAAACUAACUAUUUCAAUUUAAACAAAGUCAUUCAUAUAAUCAAUUAUCAGACAACUAUUUCAAGCUUCUAACAAAAUUAUAAAUCUUUUACGUAAACUGAGUUAUGCUAAAAUAUCCAAUAUUUUCAAAUGUUUACAAUAUAAUCAUAAAAUCACAACUUUGCAUUACUAACUAGUGAAAAUUUUAACUAUUGAAAUACUGAACAUUUGAUAAGUAACUACUGAAAA